CGAUGCGAGACGCUCAUGAGACCCCAGGAAAGGUGUUGGUUGCUCUAGACAGCAGGACGGUGGUCAUGGAAGUCGAAACCCGCUAAGGAGUGUGUAACAACUCACCUGCCGAAGCAACUAGCCCUGAAAAUGGAUGGCGCUCCAGCGUCGAGCCUAUACCCGGCCGCCGCGGCAGAGCUCCUCUUGGCAAGGAGACUUAUGCCCCGGUGAGUAGGAGGGUCGCAUCGGCGAGCGUUGAAGGUGCCGGGCGUGAGCCCGCCUGGAGCCGCCGAUGGUGCAGAUCUUGGUGGUAGUAGCAAAUACUCAAGUGAGAACCUUGAGGACUGAAGGUGGAGAAGGGUUCCAUGUGAACAGCAGUUGAACAUGGGUCAGUCGGUCCUAAGGGAUCGGAGAAAUCCGUUCCGAAGCGGGACAUUGCAUGAUUGCGGAAYUCCGCGUGAUUUCGCUCGUCCCGCUCACGAUCGACAGGGAAUGGGGUCAAUAUUCCCCAACCCGGACACGGAGAUAGAGCCCUCGGGCUCAAGUGCGGUAACGCAACCGAACUCGGAGACGGCGACGGAGGACCCGGGGAAGAGUUAUCUUUUCUUUGUAAGGGUUCGUGUCCCUGGAAUCGGUUCAUCCGGAGAUAGGGACGCUGUACCCGUAAAAGCUCCGCGGCUCUUGCGGAGUCCGGUGCGCCUCUGCCGCCCCUUGCAAAUCCGAGGGAGAGAGUGUGAU
This 717-nucleotide ribosomal RNA is filed under the name Gelanor sp. GH1551. RNAcentral describes it as "eukaryotic LSU rRNA". It matches the Rfam family "Eukaryotic large subunit ribosomal RNA", at positions 1190 to 1832 of the family's 3401-position model. Lineage: Eukaryota; Metazoa; Arthropoda; Arachnida; Araneae; Mimetidae. The record is from RNAcentral.